GACGCACUCUCAGAGUUUGAUCCUGGCUCAGGAUGAACGCUAGCUACAGGCUUAACACAUGCAAGUCGAGGGGCAGCAUGGGCUUAGCUUGCUAAGCCCGAUGGCGACCGGCGCACGGGUGAGUAACACGUAUCCAACCUUCCGGUAACUCCGGUAUAGCCUUUCGAAAGAAAGAUUAAUCCCGGAUAGUAUGGUGAUUCCGCAUGGUUUCUCCAUUAAAGGAUUCCGGUUACCGAUGGGGAUGCGUUCCAUUAGUUAGUUGGUGAGGUAACGGCUCACCAAGGCAUCGAUGGAUAGGGGAGCUGAGAGGCUUAUCCCCCACAUUGGGACUGAGACACGGCCCAA
RNAcentral lists this ribosomal RNA (345 nucleotides) under uncultured bacterium. Its description in RNAcentral is "bacterial SSU rRNA". It matches the Rfam family "Bacterial small subunit ribosomal RNA", at positions 1 to 334 of the family's 1533-position model. The record is from RNAcentral.